Long non-coding RNA from Neofelis nebulosa (Clouded leopard), 976 nucleotides. RefSeq lists it as uncharacterized. The transcript is spliced from 4 exons. NCBI's taxonomy places the organism in Eukaryota, Metazoa, Chordata, Mammalia, Carnivora, Felidae. The record is from RefSeq and is a predicted model, not a curated record.
CCCCCCAUCGCCCGCCCCACCCCCCGCCCGGUUGUUUGGCUCCGGCAGCGGGUCCAGGUUACUUUGCUGUCAUAUGGAGGACAGACUGAAAGCGGAAAGGCUGAAGCUGGAAGACAGGUGAGGAGGUCACUGAAAUAAACCAGACUCUCAGACUCAGCCCAGUGGCCACAGAUGGCAGAAGGCAAAGAAGAUCCCUGGGGCUUCUAAACACUUCCCCAGAAACUGGCAGCAGGCAGUAACUCCGGCCAAGUCAGGGGCCAGCUUGACCAGACACUCAUCAAAGUGUGAGACGCCCCGCGUGGAGCUGAGGGACCCGGCUCUGUCCAAGAACCAUCAAGAACCAAAGGUGCUGGCUCCAAGUCAAGUUGAACAGGGUACUGAGGACUCAAAGAUGAAAGAAAACCCAACAAACUCUGAAGGGAAGAAGCAUCUUCUCCUGUCUCUGACUCCUUUGAGCAGCUUAGUGGAAGAGAUCAAGUCCCCACUGCAUCCUGAAAGGGCCCAGAAGCUUCAGAGUACUGUAAACACAUCAGGCAAGGAAAUUCUCUUCCUCUACUCCAGGCAGUUUCACAGCUCAGAGCUCUGGGGUCUGCUAUUCCCUCUACCUGGAUGCUUUUCCUCACCUGGCCCCACUAUCAGCUGAGAAACUCCUGUUCUUUCUUGCAAGAAAGAACUUCUUCUUCUGUGAAGCUUUUCUUUACUGCUCUACUAGCACACUCCCCUCCACCAUUAUUUCUGUAUCUUGUACUUGUACCCAUCACUGCACAUUGUACCCUCUGCUAUUUUGCUUUAUUUAUGUGUCUGGAGUGAUGUCAUAUGAACCUUCCUCUGCUCUGUGUCCCCAGGGGGUAGCCUAAUGUCUGCUCCAUUGAGCAGAUGCUCAGUGAUCACUGGUGUGACAGAACCAUGAAGAACAGUCCCAGAUUUCCCAAGCCAUUUCAAGUUCACUUCAAGAUGGUUUAGCCCUCUUGCCAGC